GUGAAUCAUCGAAUUUUUGAACGCAAAUUGCACUCUCCGGUUUUCCGGGAGAGUAUGCUUGUUUGAGGGUCAGCCUAAAAAAAAUCGACAUAGUUGCUGUUUCGCGGUGACAUUCGUCGGAGAUUGGGUCAUCUUAAACCUUUGGGUUUUUUAAGCGGCUUAAAAUUUUUUUUACGAUCUCACGAAUGUUUCUAAGAUUUUACUUCUUAAACACGUUUAAGGUAUCGAUCUUUAUUAGACGUGGCCGUUGCAUUGGAUCGCG
RNAcentral lists this unclassified non-coding RNA (262 nucleotides) under Glomus sp. Its description in RNAcentral is "partial contains 5.8S ribosomal RNA and internal transcribed spacer 2". The stretch from base 1 to 72 matches the Rfam family "5.8S ribosomal RNA", at positions 84 to 154 of the family's 154-position model. Lineage: Eukaryota; Fungi; Glomeromycota; Glomeromycetes; Glomerales; Glomeraceae. The record is from RNAcentral.